AUUUAAUAGAAGAUGAACCAGCAAAAUAUAUAGGAAGUUGCUGGCAGAGAAUUAGAAAGAAAAUCUGGAGACAGUGGUAUCCUGAGCACCACUGGAAGGCAGUAUUUCAAGAAAGAAGUGUCUACUGCUGCUGCAAGUAAGACGAGGUCAAAAGGUAUCCCUGGAUAUGACAACAAGGAGGACCAAUUCAGUGGGUGAGCAGGCCAUAGUCAGAUAUUAAAAGGUGUUGAGGAGUGCUCUGGAACUGAAGAAAUUGAAAGGAGUAUGGCAUUACCUGUGUUAUAAAACAAAUGAUGGUCUGUCAAACACACAAAAAUUUUUUUUUCUUUGCUUGUACUCUUCUUUCUGUAUGGAACUUUCACUCCUCCUUGAUCUCUUGAUUCCUUACAUCAUCUUUUAAUGUCCAGGUUAGAUAGGACCUCUCCUAUAAAGCCUUUCUUAGCCUUAGCCUCUUUAAGAGUAUGGGCAUUGUCUUGACCAUUAGUGCAUUCCUAGUGUUUAGCAUAACAUAAAUACUUAACUUUACUUAUGUAACUAAUAAUCAAAGCAUGGGCUUUGGAAUAAGGCAGACCUGAAAUUGAAUACCUGUUUAGUUGCUUACUUACUGUGAGACCCUGUAAAAUGUAUUUUAUCCUUUAUCCCUUGUUCCUCAGUUUUUUCAUUAGCAAAAUGUGUGGGUGGGGGUGGUAAUAAUUGUACCUAUCCCAGAGAGUUUCUAUGAGUACUAAAUUAUAUAAUGCACAACAAAAUUCAUAUUAAAGUGCCUGCCAUUGCAAGCAAUCAGUAAAUAUUAGCCAUUAUAUCCAUUGCUUUGGGAUUAUUUCUCUGGGCAGUUUUCAAGUGCCUUAAUGAUCUUCUCCUGUCCUUCAUCUGAUACACAUUCCCAUAUCAUUUGCUGGAUAUUCAUAUUAUGGAAUCAGAAUACUGUAAUGUUGACUUUCUUUUUCCCAGGAUUGAUUAUGUCAAGUGGCCAGGCAUGGAAGGAGCAAAGAAGGUUCACUCUGACAGCACUAAGGAACUUUGGUUUAGGAAAGAAGAGCUUAGAGGAACGCAUUCAGGAGGAGGCCCAACACCUCACUGAAGCAAUAAAAAAGGAGAACGGACAGCCUUUUGACCCUCAUUUCAAGAUCAACAAGGCAGUUUCCAAUAUCAUUUGCUCCAUCACCUUCGGAGAACGCUUUGAGUACCAGGAUAGUUGGUUUCAGCAGCUGCUGAAGUUACUGGAUGAAGUCACAUACUUGGAGGCUUCAAAGACAUGCCAGCUCUACAAUGUCUUUCCAUGGAUAAUGAAAUUCCUGCCUGGACCCCACCAAACUCUCUUCAGCAACUGGAAAAAACUGAAAUUGUUUGUUUCUCAUAUGAUUGACAAACACAGAAAGGACCGGAAUCCUGCAGAAACAAGAGACUUUAUUGAUGCUUACCUUAAAGAAAUGUCAAAGCACACAGGCAAUCCUACUUCAAGUUUCCAUGAAGAAAACCUCAUCUGCAGCACCCUGGACCUCUUCUUUGCCGGAACCGAGACAACUUCCACAACUCUGCGAUGGGCUCUGCUUUAUAUGGCCCUCUACCCAGAAAUCCAAGAAAAAGUACAAGCUGAGAUUGACAGAGUGAUUGGCCAGGGGCAGCAGCCGAGCACAGCCGCCCGGGAGUCCAUGCCCUACACCAAUGCUGUCAUCCAUGAGGUGCAGAGAAUGGGCAACAUCAUCCCCCUGAACGUUCCCAGGGAAGUGACAGUUGAUACCACUUUGGCUGGGUACCACCUGCCCAAGAACAUCUCACCAGACUAGGGAUCUGCCAAACUUUGGGAAAUUCUGCUUCAUGAACCUGGGGUUCUAGAAUGCUAAAAUGUGAAAGGACAUUUAAGACCACCUGGGACAACAUCAUAUUAAUGCUGGUGUUUUUAACAUAAUAUCCCCACAGGGUACCAUGAUCCUGACCAAUUUGACGGCGCUGCACAGGGACCCCACAGAGUGGGCCACCCCUGACACAUUCAAUCCGGACCAUUUUCUGGAGAAUGGACAGUUUAAGAAAAGGGAAGCCUUUAUGCCUUUCUCAAUAGGAAAGCGGGCAUGCCUCGGAGAACAGUUGGCCAGGACUGAGCUGUUUAUUUUCUUCACUUCCCUUAUGCAAAAAUUUACCUUCAGGCCCCCAAACAAUGAGAAGCUGAGCCUGAAGUUUAGAAUGGGUAUCACCAUUUCCCCAGUCAGUCACCGCCUCUGCGCUGUUCCUCGGGUGUAAUAUUGUUAAGAAAGAAAGGGGCAAGGAAAGUAAGAAGACAUGGCAUGUGUUCUGAAACCACUGGUGUCUGCUCAGAUGUGUUGGGACAAAAUGAAAGUGACUUUCAAGAAAGAUCAGAGGAAUUUGACUCAGAGAAAACUAGAUCCAAAUCCCAGCUCUACUGUCUCGUCCAAAUUAGCCUUGGGAAAAUCAUUUAUAUGCUAAACAAUUUACCUUUUUAUCUAGGAGAUGAAAAGAGGAUAAUGAUUCCUUCCAUAAAGAAAGUUCUUGUAAGAAUCAAAAGAAAUGGUGAGCUUUAAGUGGUUUGUAAACCAUAAAACACAUCAUAAAAGUUC
Molecule: small RNA, 2573 nt
Filed under: Pan troglodytes (chimpanzee)
Lineage: Eukaryota; Metazoa; Chordata; Mammalia; Primates; Hominidae
Description: processed transcript
Source: RNAcentral